UUGCUUUGGUGGCACAUAUACUAAAAUUGGAAUGAUACAGAAAAGAUUAGCCAUGGCCCCUGCCCAAGGAUGACACCUAAAUUCAUGAAGCAUUCCAUGUUUUU
Molecule: small nuclear RNA, 104 nt
Filed under: Choloepus hoffmanni (Hoffmann's two-fingered sloth)
Lineage: Eukaryota; Metazoa; Chordata; Mammalia; Pilosa; Megalonychidae
Source: RNAcentral